UUGGAGGGCAAGUCUGGUGCCAGCAGCCGCGGUAAUUCCAGCUCCAAUAGCGUAUAUUAAAGUUGUUGCAGUUAAAAAGCUCGUAGUUGAAUUUCGGGGUUAGUAGGUUGGUCAUGCCUCUGGUAUGUACUGGUCUCACUGAUUCCUCCUUCCUGAUGAACCUUAAUGCCAUUAAUUUGGUGUUUUGGGGAAUUUGGACUGUUACUUUGAAAAAAUUAGAGUGUUUAAAGCAAGCUAACGCUUGAAUACAUUAGCAUGGAAUAAUGAAAUAGGACGUUCGAUCCCAUUUUGUUGGUUUCUAGGAUUGACGUAAUGAUUAAUAGGGAUAGUUGGGGGCAUUAGUAUUCAAUUGUCAGAGGUGAGAUUCUUGGAUUUAUUGAAGACUAACUAUUGCGAAAGCAUUUGCCAAGGAUGUUUUCAUUAAUCAAGAACGAAAGUUAGGGGAUCGAAGACGAUCAGAUACCGUCGUAGUCUUAACCAUAAACUAUGCCGACUAGGGAUCGGAUGAUGUUAAUUUUUUAAUGACUCAUUCGGCGCCUUACGGGAAACCAAAGUGUUUGGGUUC
Molecule: ribosomal RNA, 565 nt
Filed under: uncultured Glomeromycotina
Lineage: Eukaryota; Fungi; Glomeromycota
Description: SSU rRNA
Rfam family: Eukaryotic small subunit ribosomal RNA
Source: RNAcentral